RNAcentral lists this ribosomal RNA (433 nucleotides) under uncultured bacterium. RNAcentral's name for it is "partial 16S ribosomal RNA". It matches the Rfam family "Bacterial small subunit ribosomal RNA", at positions 29 to 507 of the family's 1533-position model. The record is from RNAcentral.
AACGAACGCUGGGGGCAGGCCUAACACAUGCAAGUCGAGCGAGGACUUCGGUCCUAGCGGCGGACGGGUGAGUAACGCGUGGGAACGUGCCCUUUGCUUCGGAAUAGCCCUGGGAAACUGGGAGUAAUACCGGAUGAGCCCUUUGGGGGAAAGAUUUAUCGGCGAAGGAUCGGCCCGCGUUGGAUUAGGUAGUUGGUGGGGUAAUGGCCUACCAAGCCGACGAUCCAUAGCUGGUUUGAGAGGAUGAUCAGCCACACUGGGACUGAGACACGGCCCAGACUCCUACGGGAGGCAGCAGUGGGGAAUCUUAGACAAUGGGGGAAACCCUGAUCUAGCCAUGCCGCGUGAGCGAUGAAGGCCUUAGGGUUGUAAAGCUCUUUCAGCUGGGAAGAUAAUGACGGUACCAGCAGAAGAAGCCCCGGCUAACUCCGUG